Long non-coding RNA from Carlito syrichta (Philippine tarsier), 394 nucleotides. RefSeq lists it as uncharacterized. The record is from RefSeq and is a predicted model, not a curated record. Lineage: Eukaryota; Metazoa; Chordata; Mammalia; Primates; Tarsiidae. The transcript is spliced from 4 exons.
CUGCUUCCCUCCUGGAAUUUUCUCCACUUUUAGCAAACGUGUGCUCAACUUGUAAAUGUAGUUUCCAGCACUGCAUAAGAAAUUUGCUCAUGCAGUUAUGGAGGCUGAAAAGUCCCGUAAUCUGUUGUCUGCAAACUGGAGACCAAGAUGAGGCAGCGGUAUAGUUCCGGGACAAGUCUGAAGGCCUGGAAACCAACAGCACCAAUAGCAUGCGAAGAUGAUAAAAUGCAAUCACCAAGUGUCAGUCGGAUGAAGAAGCCUCCAGGAAAGCUGCAGCCAACCAAUGAGACUGGAUUUCUCAAUCUUGCUCCGGAAAUGCCUGACCCAGGAUCAUUUUGUGCUGAGUGUUUGCAACUGAAUCAUAGCUGUCUGUGCUACAGGAUCGUCCCUGGGU